RNAcentral lists this ribosomal RNA (497 nucleotides) under uncultured bacterium. Its description in RNAcentral is "partial 16S ribosomal RNA". It matches the Rfam family "Bacterial small subunit ribosomal RNA", at positions 28 to 507 of the family's 1533-position model. The record is from RNAcentral.
GAUGAACGCUGGCGGCGUGCCUAAUACAUGCAAGUCGAGCGAACAGACGAGGAGCUUGCUCCUCUGACGUUAGCGGCGGACGGGUGAGUAACACGUGGAUAACCUACCUAUAAGACUGGGAUAACUUCGGGAAACCGGAGCUAAUACCGGAUAAUAUAUUGAACCGCAUGGUUCAAUAGUGAAAGACGGUUUUGCUGUCACUUAUAGAUGGAUCCGCGCCGCAUUAGCUAGUUGGUAAGGUAACGGCUUACCAAGGCAACGAUGCGUAGCCGACCUGAGAGGGUGAUGGGCCACACUGGAACAGAGACACGGUCCAGACUCCUACGGGAGGCAGCAGUAGGGAAACUUCCGCAAUCGGCGGAAGCCUGACGGAGCAACGCCGCGUGAGAGAUGAAGGUCUUCGGAUCGUAAAACUCUGUUAUGAGGGAAGAACAAAUGUGUAAGUAACUAUGCACGUCUGGACGGUACCUAAUCAGAAGGCCAGGGCUAACUACGUG